CCUGCCCAAUAGAAGCAUUGCAGUUGUAGCUGCUGUUUCACAUGUGCGUCAGUAGGUGGCAGAGAAGAGGCUAUGUCUACCUUCAGUGUUUUCACAUAUGGACAUUUGAAUGAUUAGUAACCUAACAUU
Grammomys surdaster is the source of this 129-nucleotide small nucleolar RNA. RefSeq annotates it as small nucleolar RNA SNORA17. Lineage: Eukaryota; Metazoa; Chordata; Mammalia; Rodentia; Muridae. The record is from RefSeq and is a predicted model, not a curated record. The transcript has a single exon.